AGUGAAGGUAGAGGUGCGAAAACCAUCAGUAAACUAUGAGAGAAGGUUGAGCUUCAAAGAUCAUAGCUUGAAAGGGGAAUUCGCCGAAGAAGAAAUGUUUUCUCAACGACAAUCUUCUGGAUCUGUAUUGAAUAAGUACAGAACUGUCAUGCAGGAGAACUGCAUGGAGCACUAUCUCACGG
RNAcentral lists this non-coding RNA (182 nucleotides) under Evansella cellulosilytica. Its description in RNAcentral is "Bacillus cellulosilyticus Lysine sequence". It matches the Rfam family "Lysine riboswitch aptamer". From Rfam's summary of the family: Riboswitches are metabolite binding domains within certain messenger RNAs that serve as precision sensors for their corresponding targets. The record is from RNAcentral. RNAcentral also lists the same sequence under 1 other name. Lineage: Bacteria; Bacillati; Bacillota; Bacilli; Caryophanales; Bacillaceae.